RNAcentral lists this ribosomal RNA (453 nucleotides) under uncultured bacterium. RNAcentral's name for it is "bacterial SSU rRNA". It matches the Rfam family "Bacterial small subunit ribosomal RNA", at positions 340 to 786 of the family's 1533-position model. The record is from RNAcentral.
UACGGAAGGCAGCAGUGGGGAAUAUUGCACAAUGGGCGCAAGCCUGAUGCAGCCAUGCCGCGUGUAUGAAAAAGGCCUUCGGGUUGUAAAGUACUUUCAGUCGUGAGGAAGGUGUUAAGGUUAAUAACCUUAGCAAUUGACGUUAGCGACAGAAGAAGCACCGGCUAACUCCGUGCCAGCAGCCGCGGUAAUACGGAGGGUGCGAGCGUUAAUCGGAAUUACUGGGCGUAAAGGGCACGCAGGCGGUUAAUUAAGUUGGAUGUGAAAUCCCCGGGCUUAACCUGGGAAUGGCAUUCAAGACUGGUUAGCUAGAGUCUUGUAGAGGGGGUAGAAUUCCAUGUGUAGCGGUGAAAUGCGUAGAGAUGUGGAGGAAUACCGGUGGCGAAGGCGGCCCCCUGGACAAAGACUGACGCUCAUGUGCGAAAGCUGGGGAGCAAACAGGGAUUAGAUACC